RNAcentral lists this ribosomal RNA (243 nucleotides) under uncultured bacterium. RNAcentral describes it as "partial 16S ribosomal RNA". It matches the Rfam family "Bacterial small subunit ribosomal RNA", at positions 111 to 354 of the family's 1533-position model. The record is from RNAcentral.
UAACGCGUGGAUAACCUGCCUCAUACAGGGGGAUAACAGUUAGAAAUGACUGCUAAUGCCGCAUAAGCACACGGGAGCGCAUGCUCCUGAGUGAAAAGCUCCGGCGGUAUGAGAUGGAUCCGCGUCUGAUUAGCUGGUUGGCGGGGUAACGGCCCACCAAGGCGACGAUCAGUAGCCGACCUGAGAGGGUGGCCGGCCACAUUGGGACUGAGACACGGCCCAAACUCCUACGGAAGGCAGCAG